RNAcentral lists this non-coding RNA (27 nucleotides) under Homo sapiens (human). Lineage: Eukaryota; Metazoa; Chordata; Mammalia; Primates; Hominidae. The record is from RNAcentral.
UGGGCAAGAAGCACUGUCUGCAAGGCC